This 397-nucleotide ribosomal RNA is filed under the name uncultured bacterium. RNAcentral's name for it is "partial 16S ribosomal RNA". It matches the Rfam family "Bacterial small subunit ribosomal RNA", at positions 523 to 918 of the family's 1533-position model. The record is from RNAcentral.
AUACGUAGGUGGCAAGCGUUGUCCGGAAUUAUUGGGCGUAAAGCGCGCGCAGGUGGUUCCUUAAGUCUGAUGUGAAAGCCCCCGGCUCAACCGGGGAGGGUCAUUGGAAACUGGGGAACUUGAGUGCAGAAGAGGAUAGUGGAAUUCCAAGUGUAGCGGUGAAAUGCGUAGAGAUUUGGAGGAACACCAGUGGCGAAGGCGACUGUCUGGUCUGUAACUGACACUGAGGCGCGAAAGCGUGGGGAGCAAACAGGAUUAGAUACCCUGGUAGUCCAAGCCGUAAACGAUGAGUGCUAAGUGUUGGGGGGUUUCCGCCCCUCAGUGCUGCAGCUAACGCAUUAAGCACUCCGCCUGGGGAGUACGGUCGCAAGACUGAAACUCAAAGGAAUUGACGGGG